UACGCAGGGGGCUAGCGUUGCUCGGAAUUACUGGGCGUAAAGCGCACGUAGGCGGAUUGUUAAGUCGGGGGUGAAAUCCUGGAGCUCAACUCCAGAACUGCCUUCGAUACUGGCGAUCUAGAGUCCGGGAGAGGUGAGUGGAACUGCGAGUGUAGAGGUGAAAUUCGUAGAUAUUCGCAAGAACACCAGUGGCGAAGGCGGCUCACUGGCCCGGUACUGACGCUGAGGUGCGAAAGCGUGGGGAGCAAACAGG
This 253-nucleotide ribosomal RNA is filed under the name uncultured bacterium. RNAcentral's name for it is "partial 16S ribosomal RNA". It matches the Rfam family "Bacterial small subunit ribosomal RNA", at positions 524 to 776 of the family's 1533-position model. The record is from RNAcentral.